Molecule: ribosomal RNA, 279 nt
Filed under: uncultured bacterium
Lineage: Bacteria
Description: partial 16S ribosomal RNA
Rfam family: Bacterial small subunit ribosomal RNA
Source: RNAcentral
UGCCAGCCGCCGCGGUAAUACGUGUGGGGCAAGCGUUGUUCGGAAUUACUGGGCUUAAAGGGUUCGUAGGCGGCCACUUAAGUCAGGGGUGAAAUCCCACGGCUCAACCGUGGAACGGCCUCUGAUACUGAGUGGCUUGAGUGUGCUAGGGGUAAGCGGAACGUGUAGUGUAGCGGUGAAAUGCGUAGAUAUUACACGGAAGGCCGGAGGCGAAGGCGGCUUACUGGGGCACAACUGACGCUGGGGAACGAAAGCGUGGGGAGCAAACAGGAUUAGAUA